UCAACCACUCGAACAUCUUCCGUGCAAAAGAAAUACUCGCUCUCUUUAAAAAUAAAUGUUGUUUGUCGUUAAUUUAUAACUAAAUAUCUUACAAAUUUUAUACUAAAUGAGCGACAUUUAUUUUAGAACGGAAGGAGUAUUUUUUUUUUUGAAUUUACUGUAGCCAGGAGCUGAUAAGCCCGGUGCAGAGAUGCAUUUUCAUAGGAUGAGACCGAAUCAAUGGCUCCAGAUUGAUAGGAAAACUUUUUCGAAGCAGUUGCCUGAGCAAACCCAAUUUUACCGGUCACCUCGGGUGACUCGGGAUGCAGAGCUUUCGCCUUUACACGACAGCAAUAUUAUCUGGGACUGUAUGGAAACCACCUGCUGCCACUCCUGAUCCGUUCACCUGAGUGGAAGAAAUGGAACCCCACUUUCUCCUACAGCUGAAAACCACACUGCUCCCCACACCAUGGACGGACGUGACGACACACACAGGCAGCGCCUUGGCUUACAACAAAAACGACGUACGAUAUUUCUAUCUAUCUAUAUAUUGUUAUAUAUAAAAGAAAAAAGCACGAGCACUGCGACAGCGGCGGCGCACGACACAACAUUAGCAGAGAAAGAAAAAGACGCCGCAUCCAUCACCCACCGCGAUCCCUUCCCUUCUUAUCGUUGGGAACAGUAAAACCGCUUGGCCUGCAAACCAACUUAUGAUUGGAUGGUUGGAGGGACAGUGGUAUUUUCAGUUCAUUAGAGUUC
RNAcentral lists this long non-coding RNA (738 nucleotides) under Hordeum vulgare. Its description in RNAcentral is "long non-coding RNA (HVUL_LNC013649)". The record is from RNAcentral. Lineage: Eukaryota; Viridiplantae; Streptophyta; Magnoliopsida; Poales; Poaceae.